Molecule: ribosomal RNA, 253 nt
Filed under: uncultured bacterium
Lineage: Bacteria
Description: partial 16S ribosomal RNA
Rfam family: Bacterial small subunit ribosomal RNA
Source: RNAcentral
UACGGAGGAUGCAAGCGUUAUCCGGAAUGAUUGGGCGUAAAGCGUCCGCAGGUGGCAAUGUAAGUCUGCUGUCAAAGCGUCUGGCUCAACCAGAUAAAGGCAGUGGAAACUACAUAGCUAGAGUACGGUAGGGGCAGAGGGAAUUUCCGGUGGAGCGGUGAAAUGCGUAGAGAUCGGAAAGAACACCAACGGCGAAAGCACUCUGCUGGGCCGACACUGACACUGAGAGACGAAAGCUAGGGGAGCGAAUGGG